This 464-nucleotide ribosomal RNA is filed under the name uncultured bacterium. RNAcentral's name for it is "partial 16S ribosomal RNA". It matches the Rfam family "Bacterial small subunit ribosomal RNA", at positions 28 to 506 of the family's 1533-position model. The record is from RNAcentral.
GAUGAACGCUGGCGGCGUGCUUAACACAUGCAAGUCGAACGGAAAGGCUCCUGCUUGUAGGGGUACUCGAGUGGCGAACGGGUGAGUAACACGUGGGUGAUCUGCCCUGCACUUCGGGAUAAGCCUGGGAAACUGGGUCUAAUACCGGAUAGGACGAUGGUUUGGAUGCCAUUGUGGAAAGUUUUUCGGUGUGGGAUGAGCUCGCGGCCUAUCAGCUUGUUGGUGGGGUAAUGGCCUACCAAGGCGUCGACGGGUAGCCGGCCUGAGAGGGUGUACGGCCACAUUGGGACUGAGAUACGGCCCAGACUCCUACGGGAGGCAGCAGUGGGGAAUAUUGCACAAUGGGCGGAAGCCUGAUGCAGCGACGCCGGGUGGGGGAUGACGGCCUUCGGGUGGUAAACUCCUUUCGCUAGGGACGAAGCGCAAGUGACGGUACCUGGAAAAGAAGCACCGGCUAACUACGU